RNAcentral lists this ribosomal RNA (247 nucleotides) under uncultured bacterium. RNAcentral describes it as "partial 16S ribosomal RNA". It matches the Rfam family "Bacterial small subunit ribosomal RNA", at positions 523 to 769 of the family's 1533-position model. The record is from RNAcentral.
AGACGGAGGGUGCAAGCGUUGUUCGGAAUCACUGGGCGUAAAGCGCGUGUAGGCGGCUUGACAAGUCUGAUGUGAAAGCCCUGGGCUCAACCUGGGAAGUGCAUUGGAAACUGUCAGGCUUGAGUACCGGAGAGGAUGGGGGAAUUCCCGGUGUAGAGGUGAAAUUCGUAGAGAUCGGGAGGAAUACCAGUGGCGAAGGCGCCCAUCUGGACGGUAACUGACGCUGAGACGCGAAAGCGUGGGGAGC